RNAcentral lists this ribosomal RNA (608 nucleotides) under uncultured Meliniomyces. Its description in RNAcentral is "eukaryotic LSU rRNA". The stretch from base 245 to 398 matches the Rfam family "5.8S ribosomal RNA". The record is from RNAcentral. Lineage: Eukaryota; Fungi; Ascomycota; Leotiomycetes; Helotiales; Helotiaceae.
CUUGGUCAUUUAGAGGAAGUAAAAGUCGUAACAAGGUUUCCGUAGGUGAACCUGCGGAAGGAUCAUUAAAAAAAGAGAAACGUCCCGUUUUUUUUCAUAAGAAUGGGUUCUAUUCCCUUAAACCGUGUCUACAUACCUUUGUUGCUUUGGCAGGCCGCCUUCGGGCGUCGGCUCCGGCUGAUAGUGCCUGCCAGAGGACCCAAACUCUAUGUUUAGUGAUGUCUGAGUACUAUAUAAUAUUUAAAACUUUCAACAACGGAUCUCUUGGUUCUGGCAUCGAUGAAGAACGCAGCGAAACGCGAUAAGUAAUGUGAAUUGCAGAAUUCAGUGAAUCAUCGAAUCUUUGAACGCACAUUGCGCCCCUUGGUAUUCCGAGGGGCAUGCCUGUUCGAGCGUCAUUAUAACCACUCAAGCCUGGCUUGGUAUUGGGGUUUUCGCGUGUUCGCGGCCCUUAAAAUCAGUGGCGGUGCCGUCUGGCUCUAAGCGUAGUAAUUUCUCUCGCUAUAGGGUUCCGGUGGUUACUUGCCAAAACCCCCCUAUUUUUUCUAGGUUGACCUCGGAUCAGGUAGGGAUACCCGCUGAACUUAAGCAUAUCAAUAAGCGGAGGA